CCAAGCAGAACGCAGACUAAAGACGCCACCUCCUGUGGCAACGUCUGCAUGGCCCGCUUCCU
Molecule: small RNA, 62 nt
Filed under: Cytobacillus oceanisediminis
Lineage: Bacteria; Bacillati; Bacillota; Bacilli; Caryophanales; Bacillaceae
Description: Bacillaceae-1 RNA
Rfam family: Bacillaceae-1 RNA
Source: RNAcentral